AGAGUUUGAUCCUGGCUCAGGACGAACGCUGGCGGCGUGCCUAACACAUGCAAGUCGAGCGAUGAAAUCCCUUCGGGGAUGGAUUAGCGGCGGACGGGUGAGUAACACGUGGGUAACCUGCCUCAAAGAGGGGGAUAGCCUCCCGAAAGGGAGAUUAAUACCGCAUAAUAUUAGUUUUUCGCAUGAAGAACUAAUUAAAGGAGUAAUCCGCUUUGAGAUGGACCCGCGGCGCAUUAGCUAGUUGGUGAGGUAAAGGCUCACCAAGGCGACGAUGCGUAGCCGACCUGAGAGGGUGAUCGGCCACAUUGGAACUGAGACACGGUCCAGACUCCUACGGGAGGCAGCAGUGGGGAAUAUUGCACAAUGGGCGAAAGCCUGAUGCAGCAACGCCGCGUGAGUGAUGAAGGCCUUCGGGUUGUAAAGCUCUGUCUUUUGGGACGAUAAUGACGGUACCAAAGGAGGAAGCCACGGCUAACUACGUGCCAGCAGCCGCGGUAAUACGUAGGUGGCGAGCGUUGUCCGGAUUUACUGGGCGUAAAGGAUGCGUAGGCGGAUAUUUAAGUGAGAUGUGAAAUACCCGGGCUUAACUUGGGUGCUGCAUUUCAAACUGGAUAUCUAGAGUGCGGGAGAGGAGAAUGGAAUUCCUAGUGUAGCGGUGAAAUGCGUAGAGAUUAGGAAGAACACCAGUGGCGAAGGCGAUUCUCUGGACCGUAACUGACGCUGAGGCAUGAAAGCGUGGGUAGCAAACAGGAUUAGAUACCCUGGUAGUCCACGCCGUAAACGAUGAGUACUAGGUGUAGGAGGUAUCGACUCCUUCUGUGCCGCAGUUAACACAAUAAGUACUCCGCCUGGGAAGUACGAUCGCAAGAUUAAAACUCAAAGGAAUUGACGG
This 892-nucleotide ribosomal RNA is filed under the name uncultured bacterium. RNAcentral's name for it is "bacterial SSU rRNA". It matches the Rfam family "Bacterial small subunit ribosomal RNA", at positions 8 to 916 of the family's 1533-position model. The record is from RNAcentral.